This 492-nucleotide ribosomal RNA is filed under the name uncultured bacterium. RNAcentral's name for it is "partial 16S ribosomal RNA". It matches the Rfam family "Bacterial small subunit ribosomal RNA", at positions 29 to 507 of the family's 1533-position model. The record is from RNAcentral.
AGUGAACGCUGGCGGUAGGCCUAACACAUGCAAGUCGAACGGCAGCACAGUAAGAGCUUGCUCUUACGGGUGGCGAGUGGCGGACGGGUGAGGAAUACAUCGGAAUCUACUUUUUCGUGGGGGAUAACGUAGGGAAACUUACGCUAAUACCGCAUACGACCUACGGGUGAAAGCAGGGGAUCUUCGGACCUUGCGCGAUUGAAUGAGCCGAUGUCGGAUUAGCUAGUUGGCGGGGUAAAGGCCCACCAAGGCGACGAUCCGUAGCUGGUCUGAGGGGAUGGUCAGCCACACUGGAACUGAGACACGGUCCAGACUCCUACGGGAGGCAGCAGCGGGGAAUAUUGGACAAUGGGCGAAAGCCUGAUCCAGCAAUACCGCGUGGGUGAAGAAGGCCUUCGGGUUGUAAAGCCCUUUUGUUGGGAAAGAAAAGCAGCAGGUUAAUACCCCGCUGUUCUGACGGUACCCAAAGAAUAAGCACCGGCUAACUUCGUG